RNAcentral lists this ribosomal RNA (950 nucleotides) under Phaenacantha australiae. RNAcentral describes it as "SSU rRNA". It matches the Rfam family "Eukaryotic small subunit ribosomal RNA", at positions 427 to 1285 of the family's 1831-position model. Lineage: Eukaryota; Metazoa; Arthropoda; Insecta; Hemiptera; Colobathristidae. The record is from RNAcentral.
GCAGCAGGCACGCAAAUUACCCACUCCCGGCACGGGGAGGUAGUGACAAAAAAUAACGAUACGGGACUCAUCCGAGGCCCCGUAAUCGGAAUGAGAACACCCUAAAUCCUUUAACGAGGAUCUAUUGGAGGGCAAGUCUGGUGCCAGCAGCCGCGGUAAUUCCAGCUCCAAUAGCGUAUAUUAAAGUUGUUGCGGUUAAAAAGCUCGUAGUUGGUUCUGCGUGCCACGCUGUCGGUUCACCGCCUGCCGGUGCAACUGGCAUGCCGUGGCAUGUCCUGUCGGUGGCGGAUAGGCUUCGCGGCGUGCCCUGCGCGGUAACCACCGUGUAGGCCGCCGCGCCGCGUCGUCCUUGUACGCCGGCUCAAUCCUACCGCGGUGCUCUUUACCGAGUGUCGAGGUAGGCCGACACUGUUUACUUUGAACAAAUUAGAGUGCUUAAAGCAGGCUCAUAAAUUAGCCUGAAUAGUGGUGCAUGGAAUAAUGGAAAAGGACCUUGGUUCUAUUUUGUUGGUUUCCGGAAUCCAAGGUAAUGAUCAAUAAGGACAGGCGGGGGCAUUCGUAUUGCUUGGCAAAUGCUUUCGCGGUGAAAUUCUUGGAUCGWCKCAAGACGCACUAAAGCGAAAGCAUUUGCCAAGUAUGUCUUAAUUGAUCAAGAACGAAAGUUAGAGGCUCGAAGGCGAUCAGAUACCGSCCUAGUUCUAACCAUAAACGAUGCCAGCCAGCGAUCCGCCGACGUUCCUMCGAUGACUCGGCGGGGAGCUUUCCCCGGGAAACCAAAGCUUUUGGGUUCCGGGGGAAGUAUGGUUGCAAAGCUGAAACUUAAAGGAAUUGACGGAAGGGCACCACCAGGAGUGGAGCCUGCGGCUCAAUUUGACUCAACACGGGAGAGCGUACCAGGCCCGGACAUYGGAAGGAUUGACAGAUCGAUAGCUCUUUCUCGAUUCGGUGGG